CCUACGGGUGACUGCAGUGGGGAAUAUUGCACAAUGGGGGAAACCCUGAUGCAGCGACGCCGCGUGAGUGAAGAAGUAUUUCGGUAUGUAAAGCUCUAUCAGCAGGGAAGAGAAUGACGGUACCUGACUAAGAAGCCCCGGCUAACUACGUGCCAGCAGCCGCGGUAAUACGUAGGGGGCAAGCGUUAUCCGGAUUUACUGGGUGUAAAGGGAGCGUAGACGGCGAAGAAAGUCUGAAGUGAAAGCCCGCGGCUCAACCGCGGAACUGCUUUGGAAACUUUUUUGCUGGAGUACCGGAGAGGUAAGCGGAAUUCCGAGUGUAGCGGUGAAAUGCGUAGAUAUUAGGAGGAACACCAGUGGCGAAGGCGGCUUACUGGACGGUAACUGACGUUGAGGCUCGAAAGCGUGGGGAGCAAACAGGAUUAGAUACCCCUGUAGUC
Molecule: ribosomal RNA, 440 nt
Filed under: uncultured bacterium
Lineage: Bacteria
Description: partial 16S ribosomal RNA
Rfam family: Bacterial small subunit ribosomal RNA
Source: RNAcentral